GACCUCGGAUCAGGUAGGAAUACCCGCUGAACUUAAGCAUAUCAAUAAGCGGAGGAAAAGAAACCAACAGGGAUUGCCCCAGUAACGGCGAGUGAAGCGGCAACAGCUCAAAUUUGAAAUCUGGCCCCCAGGGCCCGAGUUGUAAUUUGCAGAGGAUGCUUUUGGCGCGGUGCCUUCCGAGUUCCCUGGAACGGGACGCCAUAGAGGGUGAGAGCCCCGUCUGGUCGGACACCAAGCCAGUGUAAAGCUCCUUCGACGAGUCGAGUAGUUUGGGAAUGCUGCUCUAAAUGGGAGGUAUAUGUCUUCUAAAGCUAAAUACCGGCCAGAGACCGAUAGCGCACAAGUAGAGUGAUCGAAAGAUGAAAAGCACUUUGAAAAGAGGGUUAAACAGUACGUGAAAUUGUUGAAAGGGAAGCGUUUAUGACCAGACUUGGGCCCGGUGAAUCAUCCAGCGUUCUCGCUGGUGCACUUCGCCGGGCCCAGGCCAGCAUCAGUUCGCCGCGGGGGACAAAAGCUUCGGGAACGUGGCUCCCUCGGGAGUGUUAUAGCCCGUUGCAUAAUACCCUGUGGCGGACUGAGGUUCGCGCUCCGCAAGGAUGCUGGCGUAAUGGUCAUCAGCGACCCGUCUUGAAACACGGACCAAGGAGUCGUCUUCGUAUGCGAGUGUUCGGGUGUCAAACCCCUACGCGUAAUGAAAGUGAACGCAGGUGAGAGCUUCGGCGCAUCAUCGACCGAUCCUGAUGUUCUCGGAUGGAUUUGAGUAAGAGCAUACGGGGCCGGACCCGAAAGAAGGUGAACUAUGCCUGUAUAGGGUGAAGCCAGAGGAAACUCUGGUGGAGGCUCGCAGCGGUUCUGACGUGCAAAUCGAUCGUCAAAUAUGGGCAUGGGGGCGAAAGACUAAUCGA
RNAcentral lists this ribosomal RNA (905 nucleotides) under Tolypocladium sp. GB5502. RNAcentral's name for it is "LSU rRNA". It matches the Rfam family "Eukaryotic large subunit ribosomal RNA", at positions 1 to 938 of the family's 3401-position model. The record is from RNAcentral. Lineage: Eukaryota; Fungi; Ascomycota; Sordariomycetes; Hypocreales; Ophiocordycipitaceae.